RNAcentral lists this long non-coding RNA (1130 nucleotides) under Struthio camelus australis. Its description in RNAcentral is "lncRNA (ENSSCUG00000004916.1)". Lineage: Eukaryota; Metazoa; Chordata; Aves; Struthioniformes; Struthionidae. The record is from RNAcentral.
AAUUCAUGAUUCUUAGAGUAUAAUCUGACAUGACACUAAAGAAGUUAUUACUCUGCUGUCCAUGGGGAAAAAUCUAUCUCUAAAUCUAUCUUGAACUCAAUAUUGCUGCAUUCGGCUGAAAAAAAUCUGAAGACCCAAAAGGAAAUAGUCACAAUGAACAAGGAGAGAUGAUUCAUGCUGUCUCUUACUACUUUGUGUCUUGACACACAGUAGCUACUUUUUCACUUAAUCAAAAGAAAGCAACCAUAAAUCUUCAUGUUUUAAAUGGAUAUUUGAAGUCUCACUUUGAAUACAAUUUUCAGAACAUUCUGGCAGGUCCCAUUUAUACUGAAGAGUUAUGUUAAUGCCAGUGUCUAGAAUUAGCUGAGAAGACUUGCUACCUUUCUUAGCGUUGUCCCUUGACAGACAACAGUGUUGUCCCCCCUUUAGAGGGACACCUGACAAUUCCCAGUUCCAGCUGGCAAAAGUUAGAACUGUUCUAGCUAAGCUUGGCACAACAUUAGCCAGCAGCUUUUCUUAAAGUGAACUAUUAAAGCUUCCCAACUUCAAAUCACUGGGAUACGACUGUCAGAGGGAAGGAGCCCAGUUGUUUUGAUAUUCUAGACAAUGAACUUGAUAAGAGUUAAAAAGGAUCAUCUUUGAAUCUUACCAGAAUAAGGGGAAUCCCUCAAUCUCAAAUUCAUUUGGGAGUUCACUGCUCCCCAAUACUCUGUUGAGGUUCAAGGGAUUCCUGUCUGCCAGACUCCAAAAGUAGGCCUAUGAGAUGGCUGCUCAGGAGCAUUACCUAGGAGCCCACAGAGCAUGAAAGUACCUACCACAGCAGGAGACAGGAGUAGCAGAGAGAGGUUUAAACUCGCAUUCUUCCUGAGAUGGAAAGGUUUCCUUUUGCUCCCUUUGAUUUUUCAGGAUGCCACAGAGGAAACAUCUCCACAGCAAUACUUAUGAAGAAGGGAAAUUAUGGACUGCAGCACCCCAGCCUAGCUGACUUUCAAGAAGGGUCACCCUACUGCCAGCUGUAUGACACCCUGAGACUGGCAGGAUGUGAUUCUGGAUCCAGUUUAUAUCUAUAUUUGCAAACUAACCAGGGCCAGAACAGAGGCUCAAGCAGAAGCGUACUGACACCCACAUAG